RNAcentral lists this ribosomal RNA (447 nucleotides) under uncultured bacterium. RNAcentral's name for it is "bacterial SSU rRNA". It matches the Rfam family "Bacterial small subunit ribosomal RNA", at positions 329 to 792 of the family's 1533-position model. The record is from RNAcentral.
UGCCAGACUCCUACGGGAGGCAGCAGUGGGGGAUAUUGCACAAUGGGGGGAACCCUGAUGCAGCGACGCCGCGUGGGUGAAGGAGCGUUUCGGCGCGUAAAGCCCUAUCGGCAGGGAAGAAGGAGGACGGUACCUGACUAAGAAGCCCCGGCUAACUACGUGCCAGCAGCCGCGGUAAUACGUAGGGGGCAAGCGUUAUCCGGAUUUACUGGGUGUAAAGGGGGCGCAGACGGCAGCGCAAGCCAGGAGUGAAAGCCCGGGGCCCAACCCCGGGACUGCUCUUGGAACUGCGCGGCUGGAGUGCAGGAGGGGCAGGCGGAAUUCCUGGUGUAGGGGUAAAAUCCGUAGAGAUCAAGAGGAAUACUCAUUGCGAAGGCGACCUGCUAGAACAUAACUGACGCUGAUGCGCGAAAGCGUGGGGAGCAAACAGGAUUAGAUACCCGCGUA